UACAGAGGUGACUAACGUUGUCCGGAAUUAUUGGGCGUAAAGGGCGCGUAGGUGGUCAGGUAAGUCAGGUGUGAAAGCUCUGGGCUUAACCCAGGAAUUGCAUCUGAUACUGCUUGGCUUGAGUACGGUAGAGGAGGGUGGAAUUCCCAGUGUAGCGGUGAAAUGCGUAGAGAUCGGGAGGAACACCAGUGGCGAAGGCGGCUACCUGGACCAGCACUGACACUGAGGCACGAAAGCGUGGGGAGCAAACAGG
This 253-nucleotide ribosomal RNA is filed under the name uncultured bacterium. RNAcentral describes it as "partial 16S ribosomal RNA". It matches the Rfam family "Bacterial small subunit ribosomal RNA", at positions 524 to 776 of the family's 1533-position model. The record is from RNAcentral.